Molecule: ribosomal RNA, 499 nt
Filed under: uncultured bacterium
Lineage: Bacteria
Description: partial 16S ribosomal RNA
Rfam family: Bacterial small subunit ribosomal RNA
Source: RNAcentral
GACGAACGCUGGCGGCGUGCCUAAUACAUGCAAGUCGUGCGGACCUUUUAAAAGCUUGCUUUUAAAAGGUUAGCGGCGGACGGGUGAGUAACACGUGGGCAACCUGCCUGUAAGACUGGGAUAACGCCGGGAAACCGGGGCUAAUACCAGAUCGUUUUUUCCUCCGCAUGGAGGAAAAAGGAAAGGCGGCUUCGGCUGCCACUUACAGAUGGGCCCGCGGCGCAUUAGCUAGUUGGCGGGGUAACGGCCCACCAAGGCAACGAUGCGUAGCCGACCUGAGGGGGUGAUCGGCCACAUUGGGACUGAGACACGGCCCAAACCCCUACGGGAGGCAGCAGUAGGGAAUCUUCCGCAAUGGACGAAAGUCUGACGGAGCAACGCCGCGGGAGGUAAGAAGGCCUUCGGGUCGGAAAACUCUGUUGACGGGGAAGAACAAGUGCCGUUCGAACAGGGCGGCGCCUUGACGGUACCCGGCCAGAAAGCCACGGCUAACUACGUG